Molecule: long non-coding RNA, 6334 nt
Filed under: Homo sapiens (human)
Lineage: Eukaryota; Metazoa; Chordata; Mammalia; Primates; Hominidae
Description: non-protein coding lnc-MIER3-6:3
Rfam family: Y RNA (bases 3541-3642)
Source: RNAcentral
ACCCCCUGCUGCUGACCUCUGCGCAGGCGGAACAUCUGCCGAGCCGGCGCCGGAGCGGUAGGGCACGCUGAGGGGAUGCUCCACCGUGGCAUGCGAACGCGGACUGUGUCAGGCAUGAGAACGCGGGAGCCCUGCGGCUGAGGAAAGCAGACGUGCGGGGAGCCAAGCCCAGACUCUCAAGAGGGUAGAAAUGGCUACUAGAUAAGGAAACAGGAUGAGAUUGACGUGUUUAACGUUACAGAAUAUGGAAGUUGGGCGCCACAACUUGGCUGUACCACAUUUAAACUCAAGUCUAUUAGGGGCUUGAUCCACUUUCUUUUCUCUACACCACAUUGUUUCCGUAUAAGCAACUUAUGUGUCGGGAGAGGACCUGCUCGUGCUUUUAUGUGUAAGCAUGAUAUCAAACCAAGAAAAAAUAAAGGAAACAAAAAAAAAAACCCAAGGAUAAAACUGAUAACUUAGACACACAAUUUGUGCCUUUCAUGUGACAGAAGACACUAUAAAGUCGAACAACUGGUAGUGAAACAGAGAAACAAUUGUAGUAAAUCACAAGCAAGUUAAUAUUUAUAUUCGAUUACCAUCCUUAGCGUAUGUUUUAUUUGCAUAAGAAAAUAUAAAGAGCUCUUACAAAUUAUUAAGAAAAAGAUAACACCCACUCUUUUAAAAAGUGAAGGGCGGACCAGUCGCGGUGACUCACGCCUGUAAUCCCAACACUUCAGAAGGCUGAGGCUGGAGGAUCACCUGAGGUCGGGUGACCAACACAGCGGAAACCCCCUCUCUACUAAAAAUACAAAUAUUAGCUGGGCGUGGUGGCGGGCACCCAUAGUCCCAGUUACUAGGGAGGGUGAGGUAUGAGAAUCGCUUGAACCCAGGAGGGAGAAGUUGCAGUGAGCCAAGAUUGCACCACUGCACUCAAGUCUGGGCGACAGAGUGAGACCCUGUCUCAAAAAAAAAAGUUUAGCCCCGGGCGCGGUGGCUCACGCCUGUAAUCCCAGCACUUUGGGAGGCCGAGGCGGGCGGAUCACCUGAGGUCGCGAGUUCUAGACCAGCCUGAACAACUUGGAGAAACCCCGUCUCUACUAAAAAUAACAAAAUUAGGCUGGGCGCGGUGGCUCACGCCUGUAAUCUCAGUACUUUGGGAGGCUGAGGCGGGCGGAUCACGAGGUUAGGAAAUCGAGACCAUCCUGGCUAACACGGUGAAACCCGUCUCUACUAAAAAUACAAAAAAAAAUUAGCCGGGCGUGGUGGCGGGCGUCUGUAGUCCCAUCUACUCGGGAGGUUGAGGCAGGAGAAUGGCGUGAACCCGGGAGGCGGAGCUUGCAGUGAGCCGAGAUCUCUCCACUGCACUCCAGCCUGGGCGACAGAGCGAGACUCCGUCUCAAAAAACAAAAACAAAGCAAAAAAUAUAUGUAUACAAAAUUAGGCCGGGCGUGGUGGCUCUGGCUCACGCCUCUAAUCCCAGCACUUUGGGAGGCUGAGGCUGGUGGCUCACCUGAGGUGAGGGGUUCAAGGCUAGCUUGACCAACAUGGUGAAACCCCAUCGCUAGUAAAAACACAAAAAUUAGCCAGGCGUGGUGGUGCGCGCCUGUAAUCCCAGCACUUUGGGAGACCCAGGCGGGCGGAUCAUUUGAGGUUAGGAGUUUGAGACCAGCCUGGCCAGCAUGGUGAAACCCCGUCUCUACUAAAAAUACAAAAAAUUAGGCCGGAUGCAGUGGCUCAUUCCUGUAAUCCCAGCACUUUGGCAGGCCUAGGCGGGUUGAUCACUUGAGGUCAGGAGUUCAAGACCAGCCUGCACAACAUUGGCGAAACCCCGUCUCUACUAAAAAUACAAAAUUAGCCAGGCUUGGUGGGGAGCGCCUGUAAUCCCAGCUACUUGGGAGGCUGACGGAGGAGAAUCACUUGAACCCGGAAGGUGGAGGUUGCCGUGAGCUGAGAUCACGCCAUUGCACUCCAACCUGGCAUUGCACUCCAGCCUGGGCGACAGAGAAAAACAAAAUACAAAAAAUUAGCUGGGCAUGGAGGUGGGCGCCUGUAAUCCCAGCUACUUGGGAGGCUGAGGCAGGAGAAUUGCUUGAACCUGGGAAGCGAAGGUUGCAGUGAGCCGAGUGCAGCUGCACUCCAGCCUGGGCAGCAGAGCAAGACUCCGUCUCAAAAAAAUAAAAAAUAAAAAGUCAAGGGCAUGAACAAGCUAGCCGGGUGUGUGUGUGUAUACAUACAUAACAUAUGGGGGGAUUUAAUAAUUAUAUGAAAAAUUAUCGCACCUCACUAGAAAUCAGAAAAACUUAAACAGUAAUAUACCACUUUCAAAUAGCAGAUUGACAAAGAUUUUAAAAGACCAAAAACCUGGAUGAGGAUAAGGAAUUGGCCGGGCGCAGUGGCUCACGCCUGUAAUCCCAACACUUUGGGGAGGCCAAGGUGGGUGGAUCGUUUGAGGUCAGGAGUUCGAGACCAUCCUGCCAGCAUGGUGAAAUUCCGUCUCUACUGAAAAUACAAAAUUAGCCGGGCAUGGUGGCGGGUGCUUGUAAUCCCAGCUACUCCGGAGGUUGAAGCAGGAGAAUCGCUUGAACCCGGGAGAUGGAGAUUGCAGUGAGCCGAGAUUGGGCCACUGCACUCCAGCCUGGGCAAUAGGAGGGAAACCCUGCCUCAAAAAAAAAAAAAGAAAAAGGAUAUAAGGAAUAGGCAUUUAUUUGCAUUAACCAUAUCAAGAAUGAAACUCUUGAUAUGUGCAAGGCUUUCUGGAAGACAGUUUGGCUUUCAUAAAAAUGUCAAAGCCUUUAAGACACCCUUUAAGCAGUUGUCUUACUCCUUGGAAUUUAUUUUAAUAAAAUAAUAGGAGGCCAGGCACUGUGGCUCACGCCUGUAAUCCCAGCACUUUGGGAGGCCGAGGCGGGUGGAUCACAAGGUCAGGAGUUGGAGACCAGCCUGACCAAGAUGGUGAAACCCCAUCUCUACUAAAACUGCAAAAAUUAGGCUGGGCGUGGUGGCUCACGCCUGUAAUACCAGCAUUUUGGGAGGCCGAGCCAGGUGGAUCAGUUUAGGUCAGGAGUUCAAGACCAGCCUGGCCAACAUGGUGAAACCCCGUCUCUACUAAAAAUACAAAAAAUUAGCCAGGCGUGGUGGUGGGCGCCUGUCAUCCCAGCUACUUGGGAGGCUGAGGCAGGAGAAUCGCUUGAACCCUGGAGGUGGAGGUUGCGGUGAGCCGAGAUCAAGCCAUUGCACUCCAGCCUGGGCAACAAGAGUGAGACUCCGUCUCAAAAAAAACAACAAUAAAAUAAAAAUAAAUAAAACUACAAAAAUUAACCAGGUGUGGUGGUGGGCACCUGUAAUCCCAGCUACUUGGGAGGCUGAGGCAGGAGAAUCGCUUGAACCCAGGCAGCAGAGGUUGCAGUGAGCCGAGAUCACACCAUUGCACUCCAACCUGGGCAACAGAGCAAGCCUCCAUCUCAAAGAAAAAUAAAUGAUAAUAAUAAUAGGAAAGGUGUCCAACAGUUUAUGAAGCUGUUCAUUGAUAACUUCUUUAAAACCCCACACAAAAAAAUAGGAUGGUCCGAGUGCAGUGAUGUUUUCAACUAAUUGAUGACAACUGGUUAGAGAUUUCUUUGUUCCUUCUCCACUCCCACUGCUUCACUUGACCAGCCUUAAAAAAAAGAAAAUGAAAGAAGAAAACCACAAAAAAAAGAGAAACAACCUAAAUGUCUAUAAUAAAUUGACAAAGUAAAUUAUAUUACAUCCAUAGAGUGGAAUAUGAAGCCAUUAACAAUGGUAUUUAUUAAAAGAUGGUCACAUGAAAAAAUGCUCACAGCAUACUAUUAAGAAAAAUGGGCUGGGCGCGGUGGCUCACGCCUGUAAUCCCAGCACUUUGGGAGGCCAAGGCAGGCAGAUCACAAGGUCAGGAGUUUAAGACCAGCCUAACCAACAUGGUGAAACCCCAUCUCUACUAAAAAUACAAAAAUUAGCCGGGUGUGGUGGUGUGCACCUGUAAUACCAGCUGCUCAGGAGGCUGUGGCAGGAGAAUAGCUUAAACCCGGGAGACAGAGGUUGCAGUGAGCCAAGAUUGAGCCACUGCAUUCCAGCCUGGGCAACAGAGUGAGACUCAGUCUCAAAAAAAAAAAAAAAAAAGAAAGAAAAAAAGAAAAAUGAGAGGUAGAUUACAAAACUGUAUGUAUAAUAUCCUAUUUUUGUCAAAUAAAAAAGUAUAAUCAAAGGAAAAAUUUUGACAGACUAGAAACAAAAUGUUAACAAUGCUUAUUCCUAGGUGGCAGACUAAUAGAAGAUCUUUAUUAUUCAUACCUGCUAAGAGCAUAUAUUACUUUUGUUUGAGAUGGAGUCUUGCUAUCAGCCAGGCUGGAGUGCAGGGACGCGAUCUGGGUUCACUGCAACCUCUGCCUCCUGGAUUCAAGCGAUUCUCCUGCCUCAGCCUCCCGAGUAGCUGGAAUUACAGGCAUCUACCACCAUGCCUGGCUAAUUUUUGUAUUUUUGGUAAAGACCGGGUUUUACCAUGUUGGCCAGGCUGGUCUCGAACUCCUGACCUCAGGUGAUCCACCCAUCACGUCCUAUCAAAGUGCUGGGAUUACAGGCGUGAGCCACCGUUCCUGGCCUACUUUUCUAAUUAUAGAAAGAUAAAAAGCUACAUCUGUGCCCACUCUGAGGGGACUACAAAAAAUUUUAAGAAAAAUUUUAAGAAAAAAAGGUACAGCCAGCUGCAUUGGCUCACGCCUGUAAUCCCAGCACUUUGGGAGGCGGAGGCGGGUGGAUCACAAGGUCAGGAGUUCGAGACCAGCCUGACCAACAUGGUGAAACCCCGUCUCUACUAAAAAUACAAAAAUUAGCCGGGUAUGGUGGCGCAUGCCUGUAAUCCCAGCUACUCAGGAGGCUGAGGCAGGAGAAUCACUUGAACCCGAGAGGCGGAGGUUGCAGUGAACCGAGAUCAUGCCACUGCACUCCAGCCUGGGCAACAGAGGGAGACUUCGUCUAAAAAAACACACAAAAAACAAACAAACCAAAAAAAAACAGGUUGGGGGUGGUGGGUUGGUGUCACCAUGUUCAGCUUAGUUUUGAAAUUUUUAUUUUAUUUUUUAUUUUUAUUUAUUUAUUAUUUUGAGACAGGGUCUUACUCUGUUGCCCAGGCUGGAGUGCAGUCAUGUGAUUUCAGCUCACUGCAGUCAUCACCUCCCAGGCUCAAGGGAUCCUCCUUUCUCAGUCUCCUGAAUAUCUGGGCCUACAGGCACAUGCCACCACACUCAGCGAAUUUUUUUUGUAUUUUUGGUAGAGACGGGUUUUUCCAUAUUUCCCAGGCUGGUCUCAAACUCCUGAGCUCAAGCAAUCCUCCCCGCUCAGCCUCCCAAAGUGCUGGAAUUACAGGCAUGAGCCACCACACCCGGCCAAAUUCUUACUUUCUUUUGGAGAUGUAGAUCUCUGUUACCUAAGCUGGUCUGAAACUCCUGGCCUCAUGCUGUCCUCCUGCCUUGGCCUCCGAAAGGGCUUGGAUAAUAGGUGUGAGCCACUGCACCCAGCACUUCAGGAGUUUUUAUAUUAACUGCUGGAGAAUUUACUACAUGCUUCUUUUUAUUUAAUUUAAUUUAUUUUUUCUUUUAUUUAUUUAUUUAUUUAUUUAUUUAUUUUUGUAGAGACAGGGUCUUGUUGCCCAGGCUGGUCUCAAACUCCUGAGGUCAAGUAAUCCUCCUGCCUCAGCCUCCCAAAGUGCUAGAAUUAAAGGCAUGACCUACCACACCCAGACUUGCUACAUGCUUCUUAAUCCAAAGAGAUGCAUGGGUUGACAAGUAUUCCGCCCUGCUCCAGUUUUGGGUGGCCCAGUUUCCCUAAUUGGCACUUCCACCUCUGUGCCUCUCCCUCUGUACUAGAAGGUAUAUGCAAGAACGCACAGCAUGAUCACAAUUACCAGCAAAAUUAAAAAAAAAUUUUUCCUAAUAUGUGACUUUCAAAACGCUGCCUCUAUAAAUGACAUUUAUUAUUUUAAACCUACAGCAAGAAUGUAAACAUGUAAAUUCUUGUAGGUAAGGUGAAGAAUAUAUUUUGUAGUGUUUCAAAAGAGUGCUGUAUUUCAGUAGGUUGUAUCCUUUGUCUCUAGAAAUGGAAAAGAAUACAGGGAACCCUGGAGGUGUAGUUGAUUCCCUGCAUCUUGUUAAAGACUGGGUGACACAAGAAGAAACCCAGUCCAGUGCCGGGCUACUUUGCUCCUUCCUGAUCCUAUGUAAAAUGAACAUGUGGGACCAUGGUUAGGAGUAUUCUGUUUGUUAUGUUCUCUAGAUAUGACAACAUACACUGCAACCCCAACUUCCUGUUUCUGUCUAAUACACUCUGGAGUGAAAGGAAU